RNAcentral lists this ribosomal RNA (253 nucleotides) under uncultured bacterium. Its description in RNAcentral is "partial 16S ribosomal RNA". It matches the Rfam family "Bacterial small subunit ribosomal RNA", at positions 524 to 776 of the family's 1533-position model. The record is from RNAcentral.
UACGGAGGGUGCAAGCGUUAUCCGGAUUCACUGGGCUUAAAGGGUGCGUAGGUGGCGCGUUAAGUCCGUUGUGAAAUCCCUGGGCUCAACCCAGGAAUUGCUUCGGAUACUGGCGUGCUUGAGGCUAGUAGGGGUCACUGGAACUGACGGUGGAGCGGUGAAAUGCGUAGAUAUCGUCAGGAACGCCGAUGGUGAAGACAGGUGACUGGGCUAGUUCUGACACUGAGGCGCGAAAGCGUGGGGAGCGAACGGG